RNAcentral lists this ribosomal RNA (413 nucleotides) under uncultured bacterium. RNAcentral's name for it is "bacterial SSU rRNA". It matches the Rfam family "Bacterial small subunit ribosomal RNA", at positions 917 to 1333 of the family's 1533-position model. The record is from RNAcentral.
GGGCCCGCACAAGCGGUGGAGCAUGUGGUUUAAUUCGAUGAUACGCGAGGAACCUUACCAGGGCUUAAAUGUAGUCUGACAGGGGUGGAAACACCCCCUCCUUCGGGCAGAUUACAAGGUGCUGCAUGGUUGUCGUCAGCUCGUGCCGUGAGGUGUCAGGUUAAGUCCUAUAACGAGCGCAACCCCUGCCGUUAGUUGCCAGCAUGUAAUGAUGGGAACUCUAACGGGACUGCCGGUGCAAACCGCGAGGAAGGUGGGGAUGACGUCAAAUCAUCACGGCCCUUACGUCCUGGGCUACACACGUGCUACAAUGGCCGGUACAGAGGGCAGCCACACCGCAAGGUGGAGCGAAUCCUUAAAACCGAUCUCAGUUCGGAUCGCAGUCUGCAACUCGACUGCGUGAAGCUGGAAUC